RNAcentral lists this non-coding RNA (193 nucleotides) under Rhizobium sp. Lineage: Bacteria; Pseudomonadati; Pseudomonadota; Alphaproteobacteria; Hyphomicrobiales; Rhizobiaceae. The record is from RNAcentral.
GCAUAACCGAUCCUGUCAGGUGUCGGCGACAAGCCGGAGAAUCGGGAAUCCGGGGCAGAUCCGGAACGUGCCCAACGCUGUGAGGUGGACGCUCGGCCGCAGAAUUUGAAAGCCACUGGGAUUUUCCCGGGAAGGCGGCGGCGGGAAGCGGAUGAAGCCAAGUCAGAAGACCGGCCUGACACGAUAGACCGAC